This 479-nucleotide long non-coding RNA is filed under the name Salvia miltiorrhiza (redroot sage). RNAcentral's name for it is "long non-coding RNA (SMIL_LNC010801)". The record is from RNAcentral. Lineage: Eukaryota; Viridiplantae; Streptophyta; Magnoliopsida; Lamiales; Lamiaceae.
CAGGGCAUAAUGAAUUAUGAUUCAUUGAAGAGUUAUUGAAUUCAAUUGAAAAUAUGAUUAUUGGAUUAUUUUGAGUUUUCGAUUUAAUUCCAUACUCAAUAUCCAAUUGGGAAAUUAGAUGAUAGAAGGACCGUACGUGUAUGACGAUUCAUAAUCAAAAUAGGUUUACUCGCUAUUUCACAUAGUGCUAGAUGGCCAUGCUACUUGCUAGAUGUUCCCAUGGUUUAUAGGUUCUUGAAAUUAAAUAGUUAAUUUCAAGUGAAUUAAUUUAUCAGAUAAAUUAAUUAAGUUGUAAUGUGUUACAAGCCUGUUACUAGUGCUAGUCGUGAACCUAAGAGGGUCACACACAAUUUAGUAGAACGUGUCAGAUUGAAUCGAUUUAAUAGUUAAAUCCAAUUAAUUAAUUCGAUUAAUUAAAUUGAGACUUGUUCUAAAUUAAUGAGUUAAUUUAGAUAUUCAAUUAAAUUAGUUUUAUUGAA